UGGGGAAUUUUGGACAAUGGGCGAAAGCCUGAUCCAGCAAUGCCGCGUGUGUGAAGAAGGCCUUCGGGUUGUAAAGCACUUUUGUCCGGAAAGAAAUCCUUGGCUCUAAUACAGUCGGGGGAUGACGGUACCGGAAGAAUAAGCACCGGCUAACUACGUGCCAGCAGCCGCGGUAAUACGUAGGGUGCAAGCGUUAAUCGGAAUUACUGGGCGUAAAGCGUGCGCAGGCGGUUUGCUAAGACCGAUGUGAAAUCCCCGGGCUCAACCUGGGAACUGCAUUGGUGACUGGCAGGCUAGAGUAUGGCAGAGGGGGGUAGAAUUCCACGUGUAGCAGUGAAAUGCGUAGAGAUGUGGAGGAAUACCGAUGGCGAAGGCAGCCCCCUGGGCCAAAUACUGACGCUCAUGCACGAAAAGCGUGGGGAGCAAAACAGGAUUAGAUACCCUGGUAGUCCACGCCCUAAAACGAUGUCAACUAGUUGUUGGGGAUUCAUUUCCUUAGUAACGUAGCUAACGCGUGAAGUUGACCGCCUGGGGAGUACGGUCGCAAAGAUUAAAAACUUAAAGGAAUUGACGGGGUCAUAGCUGUUUCCU
RNAcentral lists this ribosomal RNA (591 nucleotides) under uncultured bacterium. RNAcentral describes it as "partial 16S ribosomal RNA". It matches the Rfam family "Bacterial small subunit ribosomal RNA", at positions 355 to 1375 of the family's 1533-position model. The record is from RNAcentral.